RNAcentral lists this small nuclear RNA (100 nucleotides) under Suricata suricatta (meerkat). The record is from RNAcentral. Lineage: Eukaryota; Metazoa; Chordata; Mammalia; Carnivora; Herpestidae.
GUGUUCGCCCCAGCAGCACAUCAACAAAAAUCUAAACAAUAGAUCAGCAUGGCCCCUGUACAAGGAUGACACGCAAAUUCAUGAAAUACAUUGACUCUAC